This 512-nucleotide ribosomal RNA is filed under the name uncultured bacterium. Its description in RNAcentral is "partial 16S ribosomal RNA". It matches the Rfam family "Bacterial small subunit ribosomal RNA", at positions 30 to 523 of the family's 1533-position model. The record is from RNAcentral.
AUUGAACGCUGGCGGCGUGCUUAACACAUGCAAGUCGUACGCGAAAGGGACUUCGGUCCCGAGUAAAGUGGCGCACGGGUGAGUAACACGUGGAUAAUCUGCCUCUAUGAUGGGGAUAACAGUUGGAAACGACUGCUAAUACCGAAUACGCUCAUGAUGAACUUUAUGAGGAAAGGUGGCCUCUGCUUGCAAGCUAUCGCAUAGAGAUGAGUCCGCGUCCCAUUAGCUAGUUGGUGGGGUAACGGCCUACCAAGGCAACGAUGGGUAGCCGAUCUGAGAGGAUGAUCGGCCACACUGGAACUGAAACACGGUCCAGACUCCUACGGGAGGCAGCAGUGGGGAAUAUUGCGCAAUGGGCGAAAGCCUGACGCAGCGACGCCGCGUGAGGGAUGAAGGUCUUCGGAUCGUAAACCUCUGUCAGAAGGGAAGAAACUAGGGUGCUCUAAUCAUCAUCCUACUGACGGUACCUUCAAAGGAAGCACCGGCUAACUCCGUGCCAGCCGCCGCGGUAA